Molecule: long non-coding RNA, 590 nt
Organism: Eublepharis macularius
Lineage: Eukaryota; Metazoa; Chordata; Lepidosauria; Squamata; Eublepharidae
Exons: 4
Source: RefSeq, a predicted model, not a curated record
AGUUCCCAGCUCUGACUUUUGGCAGCUGGAAACAGACUCUAGUCUCCUCGUUCUCUCCUCCUCCUCCUCCUCCUCCUCCUCUUUCUCGUGCCUUUCCUUUUCUUUCUCUUUUCAAGGUGGAAUUAUACAGCCAGAGACCUACAAGGAAUGCCCUGAUCUCUAGAGCAGCCACAGCACCAGAACUCGGCUGCACAAGAGACUACAAGCCCAAAUGCUCCCAGUCCUGUCCAGCUCGGGUCUCCCUUCUCUACUCCAUAUGCAGACCAGCAGGAUUUAAGUCCAGUGCCGCACGAUAUGAAGAAGAUUUGGAUCUAAAUCAUCAAAACAUGGGAAAAACAUCCAGAAGCAAAAACAAGAAUACCAAAACUGAGAACGUGUCGGUAAGAACCUUCUUCAUCCCUGAAACAUGGCUGAAAUGGACAAACUAACAAGAAACUUGAAGGAUCAAGAUCCAAAAGCAUUUUUGGAAGAUUGGAAAAAGUUGAAAAAAUAUAUGGAAAAGAAAUGGGAUGUUAAGGGGCAAUUAUGGUCUUUUGGGGGGGUUUAAUGAUACUAAGUAAGAUAAGAUAUAGUUAAGAUCUUUACUAAUA